RNAcentral lists this ribosomal RNA (491 nucleotides) under uncultured Proteiniphilum sp. Its description in RNAcentral is "bacterial SSU rRNA". It matches the Rfam family "Bacterial small subunit ribosomal RNA", at positions 891 to 1382 of the family's 1533-position model. Lineage: Bacteria; Pseudomonadati; Bacteroidota; Bacteroidia; Bacteroidales; Dysgonomonadaceae. The record is from RNAcentral.
GCUCAGAAACUUAAAGGAAUUGACGGGGGCCCGCACAAGCGGAGGAACAUGUGGUUUAAUUCGAUGAUACGCGAGGAACCUUACCCGGGCUUGAAAUGCAUCUGACCGGCCUUGAAAGAGGUUUUCCCUUCGGGGCAGAUGUGUAGGUGCUGCAUGGUUGUCGUCAGCUCGUGCCGUGAGGUGUCGGCUUAAGUGCCAUAACGAGCGCAACCCUCAUCAUUAGUUACCAUCAGGUAAGGCUGGGGACUCUAAUGAGACUGCCAUCGUAAGAUGUGAGGAAGGUGGGGAUGACGUCAAAUCAGCACGGCCCUUACGUCCAGGGCUACACACGUGCUACAAUGGCCGAUACAGAGGGCAGCUACCUGGUGACAGGAUGCAAAUCUCCAAAGUCGGUCUCAGUUCGGAUCGGAGUCUGCAACCCGACUCCGUGAAGUUGGAUUCGCUAGUAAUCGCGCAUCAGCCAUGGCGCGGUGAAUACGUUCCCGGGCCUU